Molecule: ribosomal RNA, 88 nt
Filed under: Lactobacillus crispatus
Lineage: Bacteria; Bacillati; Bacillota; Bacilli; Lactobacillales; Lactobacillaceae
Description: partial 16S ribosomal RNA
Rfam family: Bacterial small subunit ribosomal RNA (bases 1-77)
Source: RNAcentral
CUAAGGCAGGGCAGAUGACUGGGGUGAAGUCGUAACAAGGUAGCCGUAGGAGAACCUGCGGCUGGAUCACCUCCUUUCUAAGGAAGCG